This is a long non-coding RNA of Corticium candelabrum, 1562 nucleotides long. RefSeq lists it as uncharacterized. The record is from RefSeq and is a predicted model, not a curated record. The transcript is spliced from 5 exons. Lineage: Eukaryota; Metazoa; Porifera; Homoscleromorpha; Homosclerophorida; Plakinidae.
AGAGUCUGUGAUUUGGUUUUCAUUUCCUGAGUUUCUACCUCACCAAGUUGUCGCAGAGACGCUUCCACAUUAUUUGGCAGCCUGCUGCUGGGAGCCCGGUUUUGCGAUACGUUUUUCCAAGCGUUUUUCUUGCGCCUCUCAUCUCUAGGCUACCGUGACUUGAUCUGCCGCAAGCAGUCGUACCUACACGUAUACACUUUCGGUAGGCUUCUUUUCCAUAGUUUACUUCCAGUUAUUUCACUCCCGGAUUUGAUCUCUGAUUUGUCAACAAAAGGCACGUGCUUCCGGUAGACGCUAGAGCACUUCCGGUUUGGACGCUAGAGUUGAACUUGUAUCAACUCUAGCGUCGGCGACGCUGACGAUGCUCGUGCCGCGACGUGCGAGUGUUUACAAUAUGACGCCUGCCUGAGCGUCGUCGCUAGCGUCCUCGCCAGCAUCGUCGAGCGUCGCCAGCGUCAUAUUGUAAACCUAGCUUAAGCCGUAGACAGAGUACUACACAAGGCUCUAGAGACCAACGAUUUGACGGAGCCGUCAAUCAUGAUCAGGUUCCGCCCAUGGGGUCUACGCAGUAUACAAUCGCGUUGAUAGGCGUUGAGCUGUCAUUAUACGCUUUCUGCCAGGAAUCAAUGGAUAGACCGCCUGAGCUGGUGAAAGGCACAAAAGACCGGUUAAGAUACAGGGUAAGCAAGACUUUAAAUAUCUAAUUAGGUAUGUGCAUGAUUGACAAAGAAUCGAUGUACGUGGACUAAUCAAAUAUCUGCAUCGUUUCUCUAGGCAGAAAUUACAUUAGCUGCGGAUAGCCUUGGCAAGACCUGCUUUAGGGAGACUUACAAACGGCUUCUAAGGAGGUUGUCAAAGUCUACUCUAGAGUAGGUCUUGCGCAGGUUAUGCGAGACAUGCGGCAGCGAAUGAACGCCAUGAGUAUGACACAUAACGAAGGCCUCGUCCUUCUAGAUCUAGGAAUUCCGGAUUGGGAUCCGCGUCACGAGCUCGAGAUCGACGCAGGACUCAUUAGAUCCAUCUCUUCACGAACAGCUGCAGCCAGUUGGUGACGACGAUUUGGGGAAACCUGCAGCUGUCGCCAACUGCAAACUAUGAAACUAUGUAUACAGGUUUCUUCGUGCACGUGACAAAUGCAAUUCAUUAACACAAUAAUUUAAAUUCAAUUUGUGGCCAUGGCAACAGGUGAAAUAGAUUAUCAAGCUGCAGAGCUAGCGACAGCUGCAGGUAGAGUAGCAACUUCCAGACAAAAGGUGCUGUUGUUGAAUCAUCAGACGCGCUGCCCGGUGGCGCUGGGGUUUCAAGCUACAGACUUCCAAAUGACAGAUUCCUUUUUAAUUGAAAUAAUUCAGAUUAUUGAUGGGGAGAUGAUUCUACCGAGGAGCAGAGGAAGAAAACUAUCAUCAAUGGAAUUAAAUGAGAAAAUUAUACGGAAGAAAGAAGAUUGCCAAAUAAUUUAACUUGUGCUUUUGUAAUUUGUGUUGUAUCAUUUUACAAUAAAAUAUGCCUUGAAUUAGAAUUAUUUUGACAGACAAUAAAAUUUUGCAUAUCUGUUUAGCAAU